GCCGUAGUGGCCCAAUUGGCAGAGGCGUUCGAUUCAAAAUCGAAAGGUUGUGGGUUCGACUCCCACCUACGGUA
This 74-nucleotide transfer RNA is filed under the name Deltaproteobacteria bacterium. RNAcentral describes it as "tRNA-Leu". It matches the Rfam family "tRNA". Rfam says of the family: Transfer RNA (tRNA) molecules are approximately 80 nucleotides in length. Their secondary structure includes four short double-helical elements and three loops (D, anti-codon, and T loops). Further hydrogen bonds mediate the characteristic L-shaped molecular structure. tRNAs have two regions of fundamental functional importance: the anti-codon, which is responsible for specific mRNA codon recognition, and the 3' end, to which the tRNAs corresponding amino acid is attached (by aminoacyl-tRNA synthetases). tRNAs cope with the degeneracy of the genetic code in two manners: having more than one tRNA (with a specific anti-codon) for a particular amino acid; and 'wobble' base-pairing, i.e. permitting non-standard base-pairing at the 3rd anti-codon position. Lineage: Bacteria; Pseudomonadati; Myxococcota; Myxococcia. RNAcentral also lists the same sequence under 1 other name. The record is from RNAcentral.